RNAcentral lists this ribosomal RNA (492 nucleotides) under uncultured bacterium. RNAcentral describes it as "partial 16S ribosomal RNA". It matches the Rfam family "Bacterial small subunit ribosomal RNA", at positions 29 to 507 of the family's 1533-position model. The record is from RNAcentral.
AGUGAACGCUGGCGGUAGGCCUAACACAUGCAUGUCGAACGGCGGCACAGUAAGAGCUUGCUCUUACGGGUGGCGAGUGGCGGACGGGUGAGGAAUACAUCGGAAUCUACUUUUUCGUGGGGGAUAACGUAGGGAAACUUACGCUAAUACCGCAUACGACCUACGGGUGAAAGCAGGGGAUCUUCGGACCUUGCGCGAUUGAAUGAGCCGAUGUCGGAUUAGCUAGUUGGCGGGGUAAAGGCCCACCAAGGCGACGAUCCGUAGCUGGUCUGAGAGGAUGAUCAGCCACACUGGAACUGAGACACGGUCCAGACUCCUACGGGAGGCAGCAGUGGGGAAUAUUGGACAAUGGGCGCAAGCCUGAUCCAGCCAUACCGCGUGGGUGAAGAAGGCCUUCGGGUUGUAAAGCCCUUUUGUUGGGAAAGAAAAGCAGCAGGUUAAUACCCCGCUGUUCUGACGGUACCCAAAGAAUAAGCACCGGCUAACUUCGUG